CUCGAGCGUUACUCGGAUUUACUGGGCGUAAAGGGUUCGUAGGCGGCCUUGUGUGUCGGGUGUGAAAUCCCACGGCUUAACCGUGGAACUGCGCCCGAAACUACAUGGCUAAAGUAUUGGAGAGGUGAGUGGAAUUCCAGGUGUAGCGGUGAAAUGCGUAGAUAUCUGGAGGAACACCAACGGCGAAGGCAGCUCACUGGACAAUUACUGACGCUGAGGAACGAAAGUGUGGGGAGCAAAAGGGAUUAGAUACCCCUGUAGUCCACACCGUAAACGUUGUGCACUCGCUAUUGGAGGAUUCGACCCCUUCAGUGGCUUAGCUAACGCAAUAAGUGCACCGCCUGAGGACUACGGCCGCAAGGCUAAAACUCAAAGGAAUUGACGGGUCCCCGCACAAGCGGUGGAGCAUGUGGCUUAAUUCGAUGCAACGCGAAGAACCUUACCAGGCCUUGACAUGGAGAGGACCGGUCUAGAGAUAGACCUUUCCUUCGGGACUUCUCCACAGGUGCUGCAUGGCUGUCGUCAGCUCGUGUCGUGAGAUGUUCGGUUAAGUCCGUCAACGAGCGCAACCCCUGUCCUUAGUUGCCAUCAUUUAGUUGGGGACUCUAAGGAGACAAUCCGACUUUUGUCGGAGGGAAGGUGGGGAUGAUGUCAAGUCAGUAUGGCCCUUACGGUCUGGGCUGCACACGUGCUACAAUGCCAAGUACAAUGAGAACCGAUACCGCGAGGUGGAGGAAAUCUACAAAGCUUGGCCCAGUUCGGAUUGGAGUCUGCAAUCUCGACUCCAUGAAGUUGGAAUCGCUAGUAAUGGCGCAUCAGCUACGGCGCCGUGAAUACGUUCCCGCGGGAUUGUACACACCGCCCGUCACAUCAUGAAAGCCGGUUUCGACCCGCAAGUAUGUGAGCCAACCCGCAAGGGAGGCAGCGUCACGACGGUGAGGCUGGUGAUUGAGGAUG
RNAcentral lists this ribosomal RNA (957 nucleotides) under uncultured bacterium. RNAcentral describes it as "bacterial SSU rRNA". It matches the Rfam family "Bacterial small subunit ribosomal RNA", at positions 533 to 1482 of the family's 1533-position model. The record is from RNAcentral.